GAUGAACGCUGGCGGCGUGCCUAAUACAUGCAAGUCGAGCGAACGGACGAGAAGCUUGCUUCUCUGAUGUUAGCGGCGGACGGGUGAGUAACACGUGGAUAACCUACCUAUAAGACUGGGAUAACUUCGGGAAACCGGAGCUAAUACCGGAUAAUAUUUUGAACCGCAUGGUUCAAAAGUGAAAGACGGUCUUGCUGUCACUUAUAGAUGGAUCCGCGCUGCAUUAGCUAGUUGGUAAGGUAACGGCUUACCAAGGCAACGAUGCAUAGCCGACCUGAGAGGGUGAUCGGCCACACUGGAACUGGGACACGGUCCAGACUCCUACGGGAGGCAGCAGUAGGGAAUCUUCCGCAAUGGGCGAAAGCCUGACGGAGCAACGCCGCGUGAGUGAUGAAGGUCUUCGGAUCGUAAAACUCUGUUAUUAGGGAAGAACAUAUGUGUAAGUAACUGUGCACAUCUUGACGGUACCUAAUCAGAAAGCCACGGCUAACUACGUGCCAGCAGCCGCGGUAAUACGUAGGUGGCAAGCGUUAUCCGGAAUUAUUGGGCGUAAAGCGCGCGUAGGCGGUUUUUUAAGUCUGAUGUGAAAGCCCACGGCUCAACCGUGGAGGGUCAUUGGAAACUGGAAAACUUGAGUGCAGAAGAGGAAAGUGGAAUUCCAUGUGUAGCGGUGAAAUGCGCAGAGAUAUGGAGGAACACCAGUGGCGAAGGCGACUUUCUGGUCUGUAACUGACGCUGAUGUGCGAAAGCGUGGGGAUCAAACAGGAUUAGAUACCCUGGUAGUCCACGCCGUAAACGAUGAGUGCUAAGUGUUAGGGGGUUUCCGCCCCUUAGUGCUGCAGCUAACGCAUUAAGCACUCCGCCUGGGGAGUACGACCGCAAGGUUGAAACUCAAAGGAAUUGGCGGGGACCCGCACAAGCGGUGGAGCAUGUGGUUUAAUUCGAAGCAACGCGAAGAACCUUACCAAAUCUUGACAUCCUUUGACAACUCUAGAGAUAGAGCUUUCCCCUUCGGGGGACAAAGUGACAGGUGGUGCAUGGUUGUCGUCAGCUCGUGUCGUGAGAUGUUGGGUUAAGUCCCGCAACGAGCGCAACCCCUAAGCUUAGUUGCCAUCAUUAAGUUGGGCACUCUAAGUUGACUGCCGGUGACAAACCGGAGGAAGGUGGGGAUGACGUCAAAUCAUCAUGCCCCUUAUGAUUUGGGCUACACACGUGCUACAAUGGACAAUACAAAGGGCAGCGAAACCGCGAGGUCAAGCAAAUCCCAUAAAGUUGUUCUCAGUUCGGAUUGUAGUCUGCAACUCGACUACAUGAAGCUGGAAUCGCUAGUAAUCGUAGAUCAGCAUGCUGCGGUGAAUACGUUCCCGGGUCU
Molecule: ribosomal RNA, 1372 nt
Filed under: uncultured bacterium
Lineage: Bacteria
Description: bacterial SSU rRNA
Rfam family: Bacterial small subunit ribosomal RNA
Source: RNAcentral